CUACCCAGAAGAGUGGCUCAAGUUCACAUUCAGAAUUUAUUUGUUGAAAGAGUAUCUCCACUUUAUCACAAUCGAGCACUUCCAAUUCUUUCAGAAGUGGCCAGCUUGAACUAAACCUUCUAGAGCAAAAUCUUUUCAGUUGGUGUAAACCGGAGAGUGUGAGAGAGGUAAGGUUAGGGAAUAAGAGUAAAGGUGCUGCUUCAUCUUCAUUUUCAUUGGCAACAAUUGCCUCCACUCCACUCUCCGAUAUAUAUAGGUCCUCAAGAUGCACAAGAGCACUCGCCACAGAAACCGGAAAAAGGUUUAGCAGUUUGUUGCAUCCCCUUACUUGCAAUUUCCUUAAUUUGGAAAAUGAAUUUGCUGGAAGUUGGUCAGGCCACAAUGCUCUUAUAUUAUCUAGUCCGCGUACAGACAAGGACUCCAACCCUGGGAGUGCAACCUCUGCAAUUGAUGAUCCCUUUAGUUAAUAAUAUAUACAUAUACAUUCCUAAUAAUUAGACACAUGUAAAUAGAAAAUAAGAGGUUAAAGGAGAAUAUAUCAGUAUAACAAAGCACAAAAUUUAAACUAGAUUCAAGAAGAUCAAGAAAGAGAAAAGAAAAGAAAAAGCCUCCAGAUUUUGAAGAUACAAUGAAACUUAAAAAAAAAAAAAAAAACCUUCAAAUUUUCCUUUCGAAAUGAGCUAAUAAGAGGAUUUUUUUUUUCUUUUUUCUUUGCAUCUCUUUCAAAUUUGAUUAACUUCUAUGGAAAACGUAUUUUAACUAGUUAUGGAAAACGGAUAUUUUUUUUUUAACUUUUAUAUAAGAUACAAGUAAUACUUUAAAAAAAUUGUGAUAUCUAAAUAAUUUUUUGAAAAAUUAUUUUGAAAGAAAUAAGGUAAAUCUAUACUUUUUGUAUAAGAUGUUCAACCUUUAUAUACAAAUUUCUAAUUUUUUUUUUUAAAGUGUAUCCAAAUGGACACUAAACUAUCUAGUUUUUAAUUGUUACAACUUUGAAUUGGAUUUUAUGGUAAACUAAUUUACAAGUUAAUGCAUGGAUUCAUCUUAGAUUCCAUCUAUAAAUUUUUUUAAUUAUCUAAUAUAAGACAUUAUAUUAAUGGGUUGAAUUAAUAAUGUAAUUAUAAUUUAUUUGGCAACUUUCUUCCUUCAAAUAUAUAAAAUGAAAAUAAAUUUUAAAAAAUAAAAAAAAUGAAAAAAAUAAAAAAUAAAAAAAGAUUUUUUUUAUAGUUUUUCUAAGGUGAUUUUGUAGAGUAUUGUUAGUUUAUAGUUUUAACUUUAUUUCAUUUUACUUUUAACUUUAUUUAUUGAGGUAUGUUCUUUUUUGCAACUCUUGUUUAGAUUUUAUAGAGAAUAUAAAUUUUAAGAAAAAAAAUGAAAUUUAAAUAAAAUAAGAAUAAAGAAAGGCAAAAGGUGGAUGAAUUUUCUUAAGGCAAAAGUUUGAUAACUUGGCACUAUCAUGUAAUGGGUGAAAUUUUUAAAUACUCAACAAAGGCUAGUGAAAUUUAAAUUAAAAGCUUGACAUGUACCUUUUCGACCAAAAUCUUUGGAGUUGGUGUAAAGUUUUGAGUAUGAGAGAGGUUAGUAUAGGGAAUAUUAUUGCACAUUAGUUCAAAUAAAACAUCAACAUUUUUUUUUGUUAAAUUCUAAAUGAACACCACUAUAAAUUAAUGCGAUUUUGUAUGCUCAAUUAAAUAAACUCGUUCUUAAGGCAUCACAUGAAGUGUUUAAGUCUAAUUAAUAUUAAUUAAAAAUGAUUAUAUUAAAAAAAAUCCAAAGUAAUUUAUUUUUAUCAUAAGUCAAGUAGGAUAGUUUUAUAAAUAAUUGGUUCUAGUUUCUAGUAUUAUUGUACACAAUCGCUAUGUUUGUUGCACCUCCAAAAAAUCUACUACUUGUAAUUAAUUGUAUAUUAUUCUCCAUAUUCACAUCAGUUUAUGUAGUAUGAUUAAUUUAGCAACAAAAUAUAAGUUUACUUGAAAUCGCUUUAAAUUCCUAUGAUAUUAAAGUUUAAGAUUAAAACAAUGUAACAUUAGCCAAAAAGAUUAAGAUCUAUAAUGUAACAUAUAAAAUUUAGAAAAUUCAAGGAAGGGUAAACUCGCACCUGUUCUACCCAGAAGAGUGGCUCAAGUUCACAUUCAGAAUUUAUUUGUUGAAAGAGUAUCUCCACUUUAUCACAAUCGAGCACUUCCAAUUCUUUCAGAAGUGGCCAGCUUGAACUAAACCUUCUAGAGCAAAAUCUUUUGAGUUGGUGUAAACCGGAGAGUGUGAGAGAGGUAAGGUUAGGGAAUGAGAGUAAAGGUGCUGCUUCAUCUUCAUUUUCAUUGGCAACAAUUGCCUCCACUCCACUCUCCGAUAUAUAAAGGUCCUCAAGUUGCACAAGAGCACUCGCCACAGAAACCGGAAAAAGGUUUAGCAAUUUGUUGCAUCCCCUUCCUUGCAAUUUCCUUAAUUUGGAAAAUGAAUUUGCUGGAAGUUGGUCAGGCCACAAUGCUCUUAUAUUAUCUAGUCCACGUACAGACAAGGACUCCAAGCCUGGGAGUGCAACCUGUGCAAUUGAUGAUCCCUUUAGUUAAUAAUAUAUACAUAUACAUUCCUAAUAAUUAGACACAUGUAAAUAGAAAAUAAGAGGUUAAAGGAGAAUAUAUCAGUAUAACAAAGCACAAAAUUUAAACUAGAUUCAAGAAGAUCAAGAAAGAGAAAAGAAAAGAAAAAGCCUCCAGAUUUUGAAGAUACAAUGAAACUUAAAAAAAAAAAAAAAAAAACUUCCAAAUUUUCCUUUCGAAAUGAGGUAAUAAGAGGAUUUUUUUUUUCUUUUUUCUUUGCCUCUCUUUCAAAUUUGAUUAACUUCUAUGGAAAACGUAUUUUAACUAGUUAUGGAAAACCGAUUUUUUUUUUUUUAACUUUUAUAUAAGAUACAAGUAAUACUUUAAAAAAAUUGUGAUAUCUAAAUAAUUUUUUGAAAAAUUAUUUUUAAAGAAAUAAGGUAAAUCUAUACUUUUUGUACAAGAUGUUCUACCUUUAUAUACAAAUUUCUGAUUUUUUUUUUAAAAGUGUAUCCAAAUGGACACUAAACUAUCUAGUUUUUAAUUGUUACAACUUUGAAUUGGAUUUUAUGGUAAACUAAUUUACAAGUUAAUGCAUGGAUUCAUCUUAGAUUCCAUCUAUAAAUUUUUUUAAUUAUCUAAUAUAAGACAUUAUAUUAAUGAGUUGAAUUAAUAAUGUAAUUAUAAUUUAUUUGGCAACUUUCUUCCUUCAAAUAUAUAAAAUGAAAAUAAAGUUUAAAAAAUAAAAAAAAUGAAAAAAAUAAAAAAUAAAAAAUGAUUUUUUUUAUAGUUUUUCUAAGAUGAUUUUGUAGAGUACUGUUAGUUUAUAGUUUUAACUUUAUUUCAUUUUACUUUUAACUUUAUUUAUUGAGGUAUGUUCUUUUUUGAAACUCUUGUUUAGAUUUUAUAGAGAAUAUAAAUUUUAAGAAAAAAAAUGAAAUUUAAAUAAAAUAAGAAUAAAGAAAGGCAAAAGGUGGAUGAAUUUUUUUAAGGCAAAAGUUUGAUAACUUGGCACUAUCAUGUAAUGGGUGAAAUUUUUAAAUACUCAACAAAGGCUAGUGAAAUUUAAAUUAAAAGCUUGACAUGUACCUUUUCGACCAAAAUCUUUGGAGUUGGUGUAAAGUUUUGAGUAUGAGAGAGGUUAGUCUAGGGAAUAUUAUUGCACAUUAGUUCAAAUAAAACAUCAACAUUUUUUUUUUGUUAAAUUCUAAAUGAACACCGCUAUAAAUUAAUGCGAUUUUGUAUGCUCAAUUAAAUAAACUUGUUCUUAAGGCAUCACAUGAAGUGUUUAAGUCUAAUUAAUAUUAAUUAAAAAUGAUUAUAUUAAAAAAAAUCCAAAGUAAUUUAUUUUUAUCAUAAGUCAAGUAGGAUAGUUUUAUAAAUAAUUGGUUCUAGUUUCUAGUACUAUUGUACACAAUCGCUAUGUUUGUUGCACCUCCAAAAAAUCUACUACUUGUAAUUAAUUGUAUAUUAUUCUCCAUAUUCACAUCAGUUUAUGUAGUAUGAUUAAUUUAGCAACAAAAUAUAAGUUUACUUGAAAUCGCUUUAAAUUCCUAUGAUAUUAAAGUUUAAGAUUAAAACAAUGUAACAUUAGCCAAAAAGAUUAAGAUCUAUAAUGUAACAUAUAAUAUUUAGAAAAUUCAAGGAAGGGUAAACUCGCACCUGUUCUACCCAGAAGAGUGGCUCAAGUUCACAUUCAUAAUUUAUUUGUUGAAAGAGUAUCUCCACUUUAUCACAAUCGAGCACUUCCAAUUCUUUCAGAAGUGGCCAGCUUGAACUAAACCUUCUAGAGAAAAAUCUUUUGAGUUGGUGUAAACCGGAGAGUGUAAGAGAGGUAAGGUUAGGGAAUAAGAGUAAAAGUGCUGCUUCAUCUUCAUUUUCAUUGGCAACAAUUGCCUCCACUCCACUUUCCGAUAUAUAUAGGUCCUCAAGUUGCACAAGAGCACUCGCCACAGAAACCGGAAAAAGGUUUAGCAAUUUGUUGCAUCCCCUUACUUGCAAUUUCCUUAAUUUGGAAAAUGAAUUUGCUGGAAGUUGGUCAGACCACAAUGCUCUUAUAUUAUCUAGUCCGCGUACAGACAAGGACUCCAAACCUGGGAGUGCAACCUGUGCAAUUGAUGAUCCCUUUAGUUAAUAAUAUAUACAUAUACAUUCCUAAUAAUUAGACACAUGUAAAUAGAAAAUAAGAGGUUAAAGGAGAAUAUAUCAGUAUAACAAAGCACAAAAUUUAAACUAGAUUCAAGAAGAUCAAGAAAGAGAAAAGAAAAGAAAAAGCCUCCAGAUUUUGAAGAUACAAUGAAACUUAACAAAAAAAAAAAAAAACCACCAAAUUUUCCUUUCGAAAUGAGGUAAUAAGAGGAUUUUUUUUUUUUCUUUUUUCUUUGCCUCUCUUUCAAAUUUGAUUAACUUCUAUGGAAAACGUAUUUUAACUAGUUAUGGAAAACAUAUUUUUUUUUUAAAAAACUUUUCUAUAAGAUACAAGUAAUACUUUAAAAAAAUUGUGAUAUCUAAAAAAUUUUUUGAAAAAUUAUUUUUAAAGAAAUAAGGUAAAUCUAUACUUUUUGUAUAAGAUGUUCUACCUUUAUAUACAAAUUUCUGAUUUUUUUUUUAAAAGUGUAUCCAAAUGGACACUAAACUAUCUAGUUUUUAAUUGUUACAACUUUGAAUUGGAUUUUAUGGUAAACUAAUUUACAAGUUAAUGCAUGGAUUCAUCUUAGAUUCCAUCUAUAAAUUUUUUUAAUUAUCUAAUAUAAGACAUUAUAUUAAUGGGUUGAAUUAAUAAUGUAAUUAUAAUUUAUUUGGCAAGUUUCUUCCUUCAAAUAUAUAAAAUGAAAAUAAAUUUUAAAAAAUAAAAAAAAUGAAAAAAAUAAAAAAUAAAAAAAGAUUUUUUUUAUAGUUUUUCUAAGAUGAUUUUGUAGAGUACUGUUAGUUUAUAGUUUUAACUUUAUUUCAUUUUACUUUUAACUUUAUUUAUUGAGGUAUGUUCUUUUUUGAAACUCUUGUUUAGAUUUUAUAGAGGAUAUAAAUUUUCAGAAAAAAAAAAUUAAAUUUAAAUAAAAUAGGAAUAAAGAAAGGCAAAAGGUGGAUGAAUUUUUUUAAGGCAAAAGUUUGAUAACUUGGCACUAUCAUGUAAUGGGUGAAAUUUUUAAAUACUCAACAAAGGCUAGUGAAAUUUAAAUUAAAAGCUUGACAUGUACCUUUUCGACCAAAAUCUUUGGAGUUGGUGUAAAGUUUUGAGUAUGAGAGAGGUUAGUCUAGGGAAUAUUAUUGCACAUUAGUUCAAAUAAAACAUCAACAUUUUUUUUUUUGUUAAAUUCUAAAUGAACACCACUAUAAAUUAAUGCGAUUUGUAUGCUCAAUUAAAUAAACUCGUUCUUAAGGCAUCACAUGAAGUGUUUAAGUCUAAUUAAUAUUAAUUAAAAAUGAUUAUUUUAAAAAAAUCCAAAGUAAUUUAUUUUUAUCAUAAGUCAAGUAGGAUAGUUUUAUAAAUAAUUGGUUCUAGUUUCUAGUAUUAUUGUACACAAUCGCUAUGUUUGUUGCACCUCCAAAAAAUCUACUACUUGUAAUUAAUUGUAUAUUAUUCUCCAUAUUCACAUCAGUUUAUGUAGUAUGAUUAAUUUAGCAACAAAAUAUAAGUUUACUUGAAAUCGCUUUAAAUUCCUAUGAUAUUAAAGUUUAAGAUUAAAACAAUGUAACAUUAGCCAAAAAGACUAAGAUCUAUAAUGUAACAUAUAAAAUUUAGAAAAUUCAAGGAAGGGUAAACUCGCACCUGUUCUACCCAGAAGAGUGGCUCAAGUUCACAUUCAGAAUUUAUUUGUUGAAAGAGUAUCUCCACUUUAUCACAAUCGAGCACUUCCAAUUCUUUCAGAAGUGGCCAGCUUGAACUAAACCUUCUAGAGCAAAAUCUUUUGAGUUGGUGUAAACCGGAGAGUGUGAGAGAGGUAAGGUUAGGGAAUGAGAGUAAAGGUGCUGCUUCAUCUUCAUUUUCAUUGGCAACAAUUGCCUCCACUCCACUCUCCGAUAUAUAAAGGUCCUCAAGUUGCACAAGAGCACUCGCCACAGAAACCGGAAAAAGGUUUAGCAAUUUGUUGCAUCCCCUUACUUGCAAUUUCCUUAAUUUGGAAAAUGAAUUUGCUGGAAGUUGGUCAGGCCACAAUGCUCUUAUAUUAUCUAGUCCGCGUACAGACAAGGACUCCAAACCUGGGAGUGCAACCUGUGCAAUUGAUGAUCCCUUUAGUUAAUAAUAUAUACAUAUACAUUCCUAAUAAUUAGACACAUGUAAAUAGAAAAUAAGAGGUUAAAGGAGAAUAUAUCAGUAUAACAAAGCACAAAAUUUAAACUCUAUUCAAGAAGAUCCAGAAAGAGAAAAGAAAACGCCUUUUGAUUUUGAAGAUCCAAUGAAACUUUAAAAAAAAAAAAAAAAACCUCCAAAUUUUGCUUUCCAAAUGAGGUAAUAGGAGGAUAUUUUUAUUUUAUUUUUUCUUUGCCUCUCUUUCAAAUUUGAUUAACUUCCAUGGAAAACGUAUUUUAACUAGCCAUGGAAAAUGGAUUUUUUUUUUAAAACUUUUAUAUAAGAUACAAGAACUCUUAGAGGGUUACAUUAUGUAAGUAAUACUUUAAAAAAAAUGUUUAAAAAUAUUGUGAUAUCCAAAAAUUUUACUACCUCGGAUUUUAAAUUUUAAAAAAAUUAUUUUUAAAGAAAUAAGGUAAAUCUAUACUUUUUCGUAUAAGAUAUUCUACCUUUAUAUACAAAUUUCUGAUUUUUUUUUUAAAGUGUAUCCAAAUGGACACUAAACUAUCUAGUUUCGAAUUUUUACAACUUUGAAUUGGAUUUUAUGGUAAACUAAUUGACAAUAUAACGCAUGGAUUCAUCUUAGAUUCCAUCUAUAAAUUUUUUAAUUAUCUAAUAUAAGACAUUAUAUUAAUGGGUUGAAUUAAUAAUGUAAUUAUAAUUUAUUUGGCAACUUUCUUCCUUCAAAUAUAUAAGACGAAAAUAUAUUUUAAAAAAUAAAAAAGAAUGAUAAAAAAUAGAAAAUAAAAAUAGCUUAUUUUAUUGUUUUUCUAAGAUGAUUUUGUAGAGUGUUAGUUUAUAGUUUAACUUUAUUUCAUUUUACUUUUAACAUUAUUUAUUGAGGUAUGUUCUUUUUUGAAACUCUUGUUUAGAUUUUAUAGAGAAUAUAAAUUUUAAGAAAAAAAAUGAAAUUUAAAUAAAAUAAGAAUAAAGAAAGGCAAAAGGUGGAUGAAUUUUUUGAAGGCAAAAGUUUGAUAAUUUGGCACUGUCAUGUAAUGGGUGAAAUUUUUAAAUACUCAACAAAGGCUAGUGAAAUUUAAAUUAAAACCUUGACAUGUACCUUUUCGACCAAAAUCUUUGGAGUUGGUGUAAAGUUUUGAGUAUGAGAGAGGUUAGUCUAGGGAAUAUUAUUGCACAUUAGUUCAAAUAAAACAUCAACAUUUUUUUUUGUUAAAUUCUAAAUGAACACCACUAUAAAUUAAUGCGAUUUUGUAUGCUCAAUUAAAUAAACUCGUUCUUAAGGCAUCACAUGAAGUGUUUAAGUCUAAUUAAUAUUAAUUAAAAAUGAUUAUAUCAAAAAAAAUCCAAAGUAAUUUUUUUUUAUCAUAAGUCAAGUAGGAUAGUUUUAUAAAUAAUUGGUUCUAGUUUCUAGUAUUAUUGUACACAAUCGCUAUGUUUGUUGCACCUCCAAAAAAUCUACUACUUGUAAUUAAUUGUAUAUUAUUCUCCAUAUUCACAUCAGUUUAUGUAGUAUGAUUAAUUUAGCAACAAAAUAUAAGUUUACUUGAAAUCGCUUUAAAUUCCUAUGAUAUUAAAGUUUAAGAUUAAAACAAUGUAACAUUAGCCAAAAAGACUAAGAUCUAUAAUGUAACAAAUAAAAUUUAGAAAAUUCAAGGCAGGGUAAACUCGCACCUGUUCUACCCAGAAGAGUGGCUCAAGUUCACAUUCAGAAUUUAUUUGUUGAAAGAGUAUCUCCACUUUAUCACAAUCGAGCACUUCCAAUUCUUUCAGAAGUAGCCAGCUUGAACUAAACCUUCUAGAGCAAAAUCUUUUGAGUUGGUGUAAACCGGAGAGUGUGAGAGAGGUAAGGUUAGGGAAUAAGAGUAAAGGUGCUGCUUCAUCUUCAUUUUCAUUGGCAACAAUUGCCUCCACUCCACUCUCCGAUAUAUAUAGGUCCUCAAGUUGCACAAGAGCACUCGCCACAGAAACCCGAAAAAGGUUUAGCAAUUUGUUGAAUCCCCUUACAUGCAAUUUCCUUAAUUUGGAAAAUGAAUUUGUUGGAAGUUGGUCAGGCCACAAUGCUCUUAUAUUAUCCAGUCCGCAUACAUACAAGGACUCCAAGCCUUGGAGUGCAACCUGUGCAAUUGAUAAUCCCUUUGGUUAAUAAUAUAUACAUAUACAUUCCUAAUGAUUAGACACAUGUAAAUAGAAAAUAAGAGGUUAAAGGAGAAUAUAUCAGUAUAACAAAGCACAAAAUUUAAACUAGAUUAAAGAAGAUCAAGAAAGAGAAAAGAAAAGAAAAAGCCUCCAGAUUUUGAAGAUACAAUGAAACUUAAAAAAAAAAAAAAAAAACCUCCAAAUUUUCCUUUCGAAAUGAGGUAAUAAGAGGAUUUUUUUUUUCUUUUUUCUUUGCCUCUCUUUCAAAUUUGAUUAACUUCUAUGGAAAACGUAUUUUAACUAGUUAUGGAAAACGGAUUUUUUUUUUUAAAAACUUUUAUAUAAGAUACAAGUAAUACUUUAAAAAAAUUGUGAUAUCUAAAAAAUUUUUUGAAAAAUUAUUUUUAAAGAAAUAAGGUAAAUCUAUACUUUUUGUAUAAGAUGUUCUACCUUUGUAUUCAAAUUUCUGAUUUUUUUUUUUUAAAGUGUAUCCAAAUGCACACUAAACUAUCUAGUUUUUAAUUGUUACAACUUUGAAUUGGAUUUUAUGGUAAACUAAUUUACAAGUUAAUGCAUAGAUUCAUCUUAGAUUCCAUCUAUAAAUUUUUUUAAUUAUCUAAUAUAAGACAGUAUAUUAAUGGGUUGAAUUAAUAAUGUAAUUAUAAUUUAUUUGGCAACUUUCUUCCUUCAAAUAUAUAAAAUGAAAAUAAAUUUUAAAAAAUAAAAAAUAAAAAAAAGAUUUUUUUUAUAGUUUUUCUAAGAUGAUUUUGUAGAGUUCUGUUAGUUUAUAGUUUUCACUUUAUUUAUUGAGGUAUGUUCUUUUUUGAAACUCUUGUUUAGAUUUUAUUGAGAAUAUAAAUUUUAAGAAAAAAAAUAAAAUUUAAAUAAAAUAAGAAUAAAGAAAGGCAAAAGCUGGAUGAAUUUUUUUAAGGCAAAAGUUUGAUAAUUUGGCACUCUCAUGUAAUGGGUGAAAUUUUUAAAUACUCAACAAAGGCUAGUGAAAUUUAAAUUAAAACCAUGACAUGUACCUUUUAGACCAAAAUCUUUGGAGUUGGUGUAAUGUUUUGAGUAUGAGAGAGGUUAGUCUAGGGAAUAUUAUUGCACAUUAGUUCAAAUAAAACAUCAACAUUUUUUUUUGUUAAAUUCUAAAUGAACACCACUAUAAAUUAAUGCGAUUUUGUAUGCUCAAUUAAAUAAACUCGUUCUUAAGGCAUCACAUGAAGUGUUUAAGUCUAAUUAAUAUUAAUUAAAAAUGAUUAUAGUAAAAAAAAUCCAAAGUAAUUUUUUUUUAUCAUAAGUCAAGUAGGAUAGUUUUAUAAAUAAUUGGUUCUAGUUUCUAGUAUUAUUGUAGACAAUCGCUAUGUUUGUUGCACCUCCAAAAAAUCUACUACUUGUAAUUAAUUGUAUAUUAUUCUCCAUAUUCACAUCAGUUUAUGUAGUAUGAUUAAUUUAGCAACAAAAUAUAAGUUUACUUGAAAUGGCUUUAAAUUCCUAUGAUAUUAAAGUUUAAGAUUAAAACAAUGUAACAUUAGCAAAAAAGAUUAAGAUCUAUAAUGUAACAAAUAAAAUUUAGAAAAUUCAAGGCAGGGUAAACUCGCACCUGUUCUACCCAGAAGAGUGGCUCAAGUUCACAUUCAGAAUUUAUUUGUUGAAAGAGUAUCUCCACUUUAUCACAAUCGAGCACUUCCAAUUCUUUCAGAAGUAGCCAGCUUGAACUAAACCUUCUAGAGCAAAAUCUUUUGAGUUGGUGUAAACCGGAGAGUGUGAGAGAGGUAAGGUUAGGGAAUAAGAGUAAAGGUGCUGCUUCAUCUUCAUUUUCAUUGGCAACAAUUGCCUCCACUCCACUCUCUGAUAUAUAUAGGUCCUCAAGUUGCACAAGAGCACUCGCCACAGAAACCCGAAAAAGGUUUAGCAAUUUGUUGAAUCCCCUUACAUGCAAUUUCCUUAAUUUGGAAAAUGAAUUUGUUGGAAGUUGGUCAGGCCACAAUGCUCUUAUAUUAUCCAGUCCGCAUACAUACAAGGACUCCAAGCCUGGGAGUGCAACCUGUGCAAUUGAUAAUCCCUUUGGUUAAUAAUAUAUACAUAUACAUUCCUAAUAAUUAGACACAUGUAAAUAGAAAAUAAGAGGUUAAAGGAGAAUAUAUCAGUAUAACAAAGCACAAAAUUUAAACUAGAUUAAAGAAGAUCAAGAAAGAGAAAAGAAAAGAAAAAGCCUCCAGAUUUUGAAGAUACAAUGAAACUUAAAAAAAAAAAAAAAAAACCUCCAAAUUUUCCUUUCGAAAUGAGGUAAUAAGAGGAUUUUUUUUUUAUUUUUUCUUUGCCUCUCUUUCAAAUUUGAUUAACUUCUAUGGAAAACGCAUUUUAACUAGUUAUGGAAAACGGAUUUUUUUUUUUUAAAACUUUUAUAUAAGAUACAAGUAAUACUUUAAAAAAAUUGUGAUAUCUAAAAAAUUUUUUGAAAAAUUAUUUUUAAAGAAAUAAGGUAAAUCUAUACUUUUUGUAUAAGAUGUUCUACCUUUGUAUUCAAAUUUCUGAUUUUUUUUUUUAAAGUGUAUCCAAAUGCACAAUAAACUACCUAGUUUUUAAUUGUUACAACUUUGAAUUGGAUUUUAUGGUAAACUAAUUUACAAGUUAAUGCAUGGAUUCAUCUUAGAUUCCAUCUAUAAAUUUUUUUAAUUAUCUAAUAUAAGACAUUAUAUUAAUGGGUUGAAUUAAUAAUGUAAUUAUAAUUUAUUUGGCAACUUUCUUCCUUCAAAUAUAUAAAAUGAAAAUAAAUUUUAAAAAAUAAAAAAAAUGAAAAAAUAAAAAAUAAAAAAAAGAUUUUUUUUAUAGUUUUUCUAAGAUGAUUUUGUAGAGUACUGUUAGUUUAUAGUUUUCACUUUAUUUAUUGAGGUAUGUUCUUUUUUGAAACUCUUGUUUAGAUUUUAUUGAGAAUAUAAAUUUUAAGAAAAAAAAUGAAAUUUAAAUAAAAUAAGAAUAAAGAAAGGCAAAAGGUGGAUGAAUUUUUUUACGGCAAAAGUUUGAUAAUUUGGCACUAUCAUGUAAUGGGUGAAAUUUUUAAAUACUCAACAAAGGCUAGUGAAAUUUAAAUUAAAACCUUGACAUGUACCUUUUAGACCAAAAUCUUUGGAGUUGGUGUAAAGUUUUGAGUAUGAGAGAGGUUAGUCUAGGGAAUAUUAUUGCACAUUAGUUCAAAUAAAACAUCAACAUUUUUUUUUGUUAAAUUCUAAAUGAACACCACUAUAAAUUAAUGCGAUUUUGUAUGCUCAAUUAAAUAAACUCGUUCUUAAGGCAUCACAUGAAGUAUUUAAGUCUAAUUAAUAUUAAUUAAAAAUGAUUAUAGUAAAAAAAAUCCAAAGUAAUUUUUUUUUAUCAUAAGUCAAGUAGGAUAGUUUUAUAAAUAAUUGGUUCUAGUUUCUAGUAUUAUUGUAGACAAUCGCUAUGUUUGUUGCACCUCCAAAAAAUCUACUACUUGUAAUUAAUUGUAUAUUAUUCUCCAUAUUCACAUCAGUUUAUGUAGUAUGAUUAAUUUAGCAACAAAAUAUAAGUUUACUUGAAAUGGCUUUAAAUUCCUAUGAUAUUAAAGUUUAAGAUUAAAACAAUGUAACAUUAGCCAAAAAGAUUAAGAUCUAUAAUGUAACAUAUAAAAUUUAGAAAAUUCAAGGAAGGGUAAACUCGCACCUGUUCUACCCAGAAGAGUGGCUCAAGUUCACAUUCAGAAUUUAUUUGUUGAAAGAGUAUCUCCACUUUAUCACAAUAGAGCACUUCCAAUUCUUUCAGAAGUGGCCAGCUUGAACUAAACCUUCUAGAGCAAAAUCUUUUGAGUUGGUGUAAACCGGAGAGUGUGAGAGAGGUAAGGUUAGGGAAUAAGAGUAAAGGUGCUGCCUCAUCUUCAUUUUCAUUGGCAACAAUUGCCUCCACUCCACUCUGAAAUAUAUUUAGGUUCUCAAGUUGCACAAGAGCACUCGCCACAGAAACCGGAAAAAGGUUUAGCAAUUUGUUGCAUCCCCUUACUUGCAAUUCCCUUAAUUUGGAAAAUGAAUUUGCUGGAAGUUGGUCAGGCCACAAUGCUCUUAUAUUAUCUAGUCCGCAUACAGAAAAGGACUCCAAGCCUGGGAGUGCAACCUGUGCAAUUGAUGAUCCCUUUAGUUAAUAAUAUAUACAUAUACAUUCCUAAUAAUUAGCACAUGUAAAUAGAAAAUAAGAGGUUAAAGGAGAAUAUAUCAGUAUAACAAAGCACAAAAUUUAAACUAGAUUCAAGAAGAUCAAGAAAGAGAAAAGAAAAGAAAAAGCCUCCAGAUUUUAAAGAUACAAUGAAACUUAAAAAAAAAAAAAAAAAACCUCCAAAUUUUCCUUUCGAAAUGAGGUAAUAAGAGGAUUUUUUUUUUUUUCUUUUUUCUUUGCCUCUCUUUCAAAUUUGAUUAACUUCUAUGGAAAACGUAUUUUAACUAGUUAUGGAAAACGGAUUUUUUUUUUAAACUUUUAUAUAAGAUACAAGUAAUACUUUUAAAAAAUUGUGAUAUCUAAAAAAGUUUUUGAAAAAUUAUUUUUAAAGAAAUAAGGUAAAUCUAUACUUUUUGUAUAAGAUCUUCUACCUUUAUAUACAAAUUUCUGAUUUUUUUUUUUAAAGUGUAUCCAAAUGGACACUAAACUAUCUAGUUUUUAAUUGUUACAACUUUGAAUUGGAUUUUAUGGUAAACUAAUUUACAAGUUAAUGCAUGGAUUCAUCUUAGAUUCCAUCUAUAAAUUUUUUUAAUUAUCUAAUAUAAGACAUUAUAUUAAUGGGUUGAAUUAAUAAUGUAAUUAUAAUUUAUUUGGCAACUUUCUUCCUUCAAAUAUAUAAAAUGAAAAUAAAUUUUAAAAAAUAAAAAAGAAUGAAAAAAAUAAAAAAUAAAAAAAGCUUUUUUUUAUAGUUUUUCUAAGAUGAUUUUGUAGAGUACUGUUAGUUUAUAGUUUUAACUUUAUUUCAUUUUACUUUUAACUUUAUUUAUUGAGGUAUGUUCUUUUUUGAAACUCUUGUUUAGAUUUUAUAGAGAAUAUAAAUUUUAAGAAAAAAAAAGGAAAUUUAAAUAAAAUAAGAAUAAAGAAAGGCAAAAGGUGGAUGAAUUUUUUUAAGGCAAAAGUUUGAUAAUUUGGCACUAUCAUGUAAUGGGUGAAAUUUUUAAAUACUCAACAAAGGCUAGUGAAAUUUAAAUUAAAAGCUUGACAUGUACCUUUUCGACCAAAAUCUUUGGAGUUGGUGUAAAGUUUUGAGUAUGAGAGAGGUUAGUCUAGGGAAUAUUAUUGCACAUUUGUUCAAAUAAAACAUCAACAUUUUUUUUUGUUAAAUUCUAAAUGAACACCACUAUAAAUUAAUGCGAUUUUGUAUGCUCAAUUAAAUAAACUCAUUCUUAAGGCAUCACAUGAAGUGUUUAAGUCUAAUUAAUAUUAAUUAAAAAUGAUUAUAUUAAAAAAAAUCCAAAGUAAUUUAUUUUUAUCAUAAGUCAAGUAGGAUAGUUUUAUAAAUAAUUGGUUCUAGUUUCUAGUAUUAUUGUACACAAUCGCUAUGUUUGUUGCACCUCCAAAAAUCUACUACUUGUAAUUAAUUGUAUAUUAUUCUCCAUAUUCACAUCAGUUUAUGUAGUAUGAUUAAUUUAGCAACAAAAUAUAAGUUUACUUGAAAUCGCUUUAAAUUCCUAUGAUAUUAAAGUUUAAGAUUAAAACAAUUUAACAUUAGCCAAAAAGAUUAAGAUCUAUAAUGUAACAUAUAAAAUUUAGAAAAUUCAAGGAAGGGUAAACUCGCACCUGUUCUACCCAGAAGAGUGGCUCAAGUUCACAUUCAGAAUUUAUUUGUUGAAAGAGUAUCUCCACUUUAUCACAAUCGAGCACUUCCAAUUCUUUCAGAAGUGGCCAACUUGAACUAAACUUUCUAGAGCAAAAUCUUUUGAGUUGGUGUAAACCGGAGAGUGUGAGAGAGGUAAGGUUAGGGAAUAAAAGUAAAAGUGCUGCUUCAUCUUCAUUUUCAUUGUGAACAAUUGCCUCCACUCCACUAUAAAAUAUAUUUAGGUUCUCAAGUUGCACAAGAGCACUCGCCACAGAAACCGGAAAAAGGUUUAGCAAUUUGUUGCAUCCCCUUACUUGCAAUUUCCUUAAUUUGGAAAAUGAAUUUGCUGGAAGUUGGUCAGGCCACAAUGCUCUUAUAUUAUCUAGUCCGCAUACAGACACGGACUCCAAGCCUGGGAGUGCAACCUGUGCAAUUGAUGAUCCCUUUAGUUAAUAAUAUAUACAUAUACAUUCCUAAUAAUUAGACACAUGUAAAUAGAAAAU
This 15231-nucleotide long non-coding RNA is filed under the name Vitis vinifera (wine grape). Its description in RNAcentral is "long non-coding RNA (VVIN_LNC003280)". The record is from RNAcentral. Lineage: Eukaryota; Viridiplantae; Streptophyta; Magnoliopsida; Vitales; Vitaceae.